Molecule: long non-coding RNA, 1142 nt
Organism: Piliocolobus tephrosceles (Ugandan red Colobus)
Lineage: Eukaryota; Metazoa; Chordata; Mammalia; Primates; Cercopithecidae
Exons: 3
Source: RefSeq, a predicted model, not a curated record
UUUCCGCCGCGCUGCGCGGGCCUGGGAGCUGCCGGAGUGAACCCCGCGGGCGGUUCUGACUCUGCUGUCAGGGUAGGGGACAGAGAGAGAACUUAAGGUCCGUCCAGGGCGAGCAAACGUUAUUACGGAAGAAAGCCGCCCGCGCCCUCCGUAGCCACCUGAGCGGAGGUUCUCACCUAUUGGAGAAACUAAUGGAAUAUUUCAUAUGUCCAUGGUUUAAAAGAAAUCAAAGAGCACACACUGAAAAAUACGGAGACAGCACUACAUGAGUGUAGAGCUGCCAGUGUAACUACUGCGUUACCCAAGAAAGCCGCCUCCAAAAUAUCUGCGGACACGUUCAACUAGAGAUUCAACUACCAAGAAUACAGCUCUGAGGGGACAACACCAACGGUGAAUCUACAAUUAUCUCAAACAAAACUUAACAAAAUUAUGGAAGAAAAUGGAAAGAGAUGGCAGAGACUACAAAUAUGUAUUUACCUCACUCCACAAUGACACUUGGCUCUUAUCCACCUUAGACAAGUAUGAAGAUUUAUUUGGAGGGAGAAGUCUCCUGUGCACUCGAAAGUCUCUAAGGCUGCCUCAAAUUUGAGUCUCAUCAGUACCACUAAGAUCUCUUGUAGAAGGGAGGACUGUUAAAGCUUGUGAGUUACUUUCUUACCUCCAAAAUAGUUAGAUAUUUGCUUUAUUUUUAAGAUAUUCUGUGCUAACUAGUAGACCUUGGGCCAAAGAAUUCAUGAUGUAUUUCAAAGAACAGGCAAAUGUCACAAAUGGUCAUGAUGGAUGAGGUAGAAGCCCCCAGGACAGACUGGAGUACGUGAAACAUGCCCACGGGCACGUGGGUCUGGGACGGGAAGGGAGCAGCAUGGGCGCUGACUCUUAGGAGGGAAGUCAUUCAAGAUCUCAUUCCCUACAAGGCGGACUGCGGCUUGCCUGUCAAGACAGUUGAACAUGCUGCUUCUUCAACGGGUGCACACAAAGGGUUGGACAAAACUGCUUGGAGACUUUCUCGCUUGGUUUGUGGUUACCUCAAAAACUGACAAGGGAUAGUUAUAUAAAAUGUGAACACUGGGGAAGGAUGGAGAGGGACAUAUGGACACUCAUUGUACUAUUUUUGUAGCUUCCAUAAGUAGUUCAAAUAAAAA